GACGAACGCUGGCGGCGUGCUUAACACAUGCAAGUCGAACGGUUAAGCGCUUUCCUCUUUGGUUGGCGUGGAUGAGUGGCGGACGGGUGAGUAACACGUUCGUAACCUGCCCUCUUCUUCUGGAUAACCGCAGGAAAGUUUCGCUAAUACGGGAUAUUCUGCGCCUGUUGCAUCGUGGGUGUGGCAAAGAUUGUGCCUUUGGGUGUUUUCGGAGGGGGUUGGGGUCGCGGCCUAUUACCUUGUUGGUGGGGCGAGGGUCUACCAAGGAGGUGACGGGUAGCCGGCCUGAGAGGGGGGACGGUCACACUGGGACUGAGACACGGACCAGAAUGGGAGGGGAGGGAGGGGUAUGGUAGAUUGCACGCUGAGGGCAAGCCUGAUGCAGCGGCGCCGGGUGAGAGAGGGAGGCCUUCGGGUUGUGAACCUCUUUCGCAAGAAAAGCAGGACUGCUCCUUGUGGGUGGGUUGACGGUAGCUGGAUAAGAAGCGCCGGCUAACUACGUG
RNAcentral lists this ribosomal RNA (503 nucleotides) under uncultured bacterium. RNAcentral describes it as "partial 16S ribosomal RNA". It matches the Rfam family "Bacterial small subunit ribosomal RNA", at positions 28 to 507 of the family's 1533-position model. The record is from RNAcentral.